RNAcentral lists this ribosomal RNA (408 nucleotides) under uncultured bacterium. RNAcentral describes it as "partial 16S ribosomal RNA". It matches the Rfam family "Bacterial small subunit ribosomal RNA", at positions 28 to 526 of the family's 1533-position model. The record is from RNAcentral.
GACGAACGCUGGCGGCGUGCUUAACACAUGCAAGUCGAACGAAGUGGCGAACGGGUGAGUAACGCGUAAUCAAACUGCCCUUAAGAGGGGGACAACAGUUGGAAACGACUGCUAAUACCGCAUACGGAAGGCGGGGAAGGCGUCUGAUUAGCUAGUUGGAGGGGUAACGGCCCACCAAGGCGAUGAUCAGUAGCCGGUCUGAGAUGAUGAACCGCCACAUUGGGACUGAGACACGGCCCAGACGCCUACGGGAGGCAGCAGUGGGUAAUCUUCCGCAAUGGACGAAAGUCUGACGUAGCAACGCCGCGUGAGUGAUGACGGCCUUCGGGUUGUAAAGCUCUGUUAAUCGGGACGCGGUACCGGAAUAGAAAGCCACGGCUAACUACGUGCCAGCAGCCGCGGUAAUAC